This 902-nucleotide ribosomal RNA is filed under the name Ramaria gracilioides. Its description in RNAcentral is "Ramaria sp. PA-2020d partial large subunit ribosomal RNA". It matches the Rfam family "Eukaryotic large subunit ribosomal RNA", at positions 35 to 915 of the family's 3401-position model. The record is from RNAcentral. Lineage: Eukaryota; Fungi; Basidiomycota; Agaricomycetes; Gomphales; Gomphaceae.
UAAGCAUAUCAAUAAGCGGAGGAAAAGAAACUAACCAGGAUUCCCCUAGUAACGGCGAGUGAAGCGGGAAGAGCUCAAAUUUGUAAUCUGGCGGUCUCAGGCCGUCCGAGUUGUAGUCUAGAGAAGCGUCUUCCGUGCCGGCCCGUGUACAAGUCCCUUGGAACAGGGCGUCAUAGAGGGUGAGAAUCCCGUCUUUGACACGGACUGCCGGUGCUCUGUGAUGCGCUCUCGAAGAGUCGAGUUGUUUGGGAAUGCAGCUCAAAACGGGUGGUAAAUUCCAUCUAAAGCUAAAUAUUGGCGAAAGACCGAUAGCGAACAAGUACCGUGAGGGAAAGAUGAAAAGCACUUUGGAAAGAGAGUUAAACAGUACGUGAAAUUGUUGAAAGGGAAACGCUUGAAGUCAGUCGCGUCUUCUGGGACUCAGCCGGACACACUCGUGUCCGGUGUACUUCCCGGUCUGACGGGCCAGCAUCGAUUUCGAUCGUCGGAGAAAGGCUCGGGGAACGUGGCACCUCCGGGUGUGUUAUAGCCCUGGGUCGUAUGCGACGGUGGGGAUCGAGGAUCGCAGCACGCCUUCAUUGGCCGGGGUUCGCCCACGCAACGUGCUUAGGAUGCUGGCGUAAUGGCUUUAAGCGACCCGUCUUGAAACACGGACCAAGGAGUCUAACAUGCCUGCGAGUGUUUGGGUGGAAAACCCGGACGCGGAAUGAAAGUGAAAAGUUGGGACCUCUGUCGUGGAGGGCACCGACUCCCGGACCAGACCUUCUGUGACGGUUCCGAGGUAGAGCAUGUAUGUUGGGACCCGAAAGAUGGUGAACUAUGCCUGAGUAGGGUGAAGCCAGAGGAAACUCUGGUGGAGGCUCGUAGCGAUUCUGACGUGCAAAUCGAUCGUCGAACUUGGG